UGUUUAUCAAAAACAUGGCUCUUUGUAUAUUGAAGAUAGAGAGUCGGACCUGCCCGGUGAAUUUUUUAACGGCCGCGGUACUCUGACCGUGCAAAGGUAGCAUAAGUAAAUUUGCCUUAUAAUUGAAGGCUAGAAUGAAUGGUUUGACAAAAAUACAACUGUCUCUUUACAAUUACAUAAAAUUUUAUCUGCAGUUGAAGAAGCCUGCAUUUGAAUAAAAGACAAGAAGACCCUAUCGAGCUUAAAAAAAACUGGUGGAAUAACAAACUUAAUCCUAACUUAUAAAUAAAUAAAUAGUCAACUACUGGAAAUUUUGGUUGGGGCGACCGGGGAACAAAAAAAACUUCCUUUAUAAAAAUUUAGAUGCCCAAAUAUUGAUCCAGCAUUAUAUGAUUAAAGAAAUUAGUUACCGUAGGGAUAACAGCAUUAUCUUUUUUAAGAGUUCUUAUCGAAAAAAACGUUUGUGACCUCGAUGUUGGACCAGAAUAUCCUAAAGAUGCAGCCGUCUUUAAGGGUUGGUCUGUUCGACCAUUAAAAUUCUACGUGAUCUGAGUUCACACCGG
Molecule: ribosomal RNA, 563 nt
Filed under: Turbinella pyrum
Lineage: Eukaryota; Metazoa; Mollusca; Gastropoda; Neogastropoda; Turbinellidae
Description: partial 16S ribosomal RNA
Rfam family: Bacterial large subunit ribosomal RNA
Source: RNAcentral